CGGAGGAUCCGAGCGUUAUCCGGAUUUAUUGGGUUUAAAGGGUGCGCAGGCGGAAGAUUAAGUCGGUGGUGAAAUUUUGCAGCUCAACUGUAAAAGUGCCAUUGAUACUGGUUUUCUUGAGUGUGGAUGAAGUAGGCGGAAUUUGUGGUGUAGCGGUGAAAUGCAUAGAUAUCACGAGGAACUCCGAUUGCGCAGGCAGCUUACUAAACCAUAACUGACGCUCAGGCACGAAGGCGUGGGGAUCAAACAGGAUUAGAUA
RNAcentral lists this ribosomal RNA (259 nucleotides) under uncultured prokaryote. RNAcentral describes it as "partial 16S ribosomal RNA". It matches the Rfam family "Bacterial small subunit ribosomal RNA", at positions 526 to 784 of the family's 1533-position model. The record is from RNAcentral.